AUCUUCCGCAAUGGACGAAAGUCUGACGGGGCAACGCCGCGUGAGUGAUAAAGGCUUCCGGGUCGUAAAACUCUGUUGUUAGGGAAGAAAAAGUGCUAGUUGAAUAAGCUGGUACCUUGACGGUACCUAACCAGAAAGCCCCGGCUAAAUACGUGCCAGCAGCCGCGGUAAUACGUAGGUGGCAAGCGUUAUCCGGAAUUAUUGGGCGUAAAGCGCGCGCAGGUGGUUUCUUAAGUCUGAAGUGAAAGCCCACGGCUCAACCGUGGAGGGUCAUUGGAAACUGGGAGACUUGAGUGCAGAAGAGGAAAGUGGAAUUCCAUGUGUAGCGGUGAAAUGCGUAGAGAUAUGGAGGAACACCAGUGGCGAAGGCGACUUUCUGGUCUGUAACUGACACUGAGGCGCGAAAGCGUGGGGAGCAAACAGG
RNAcentral lists this ribosomal RNA (424 nucleotides) under uncultured bacterium. RNAcentral describes it as "bacterial SSU rRNA". It matches the Rfam family "Bacterial small subunit ribosomal RNA", at positions 361 to 776 of the family's 1533-position model. The record is from RNAcentral.